CCUACGGGAGGCAGCAGUGGGGAAUAUUGGGCAAUGGACGCGAGCCUGACCCUGCAACACCGCGUGAAGGAAGAAGGCUUUCGGGUUUGAAACUUCUUUUAAGAUGGAAAUACAGAAGACGGUACCUCUGGAAUAAUCCACGGCUAACUAAGUGCCAGCAGCCGCGGUAAUACGUAGGUGGCCAGCAUUGUCCGGAUUUACUGGGUGUAAAGGGAGUGUAGCCGGGCUGACAAGUCAGAUGUGAAAUUCCGGGGCUCAACCCCGGAACUGCAUUUGAAACUGUUGGUCUUGAGUAUCGGAGAGGCAGGCGGAAUUCGUAGUGUAGCGGUGAAAUGCGUAGAUAUUAGGAGGAACACCAGUUGCGAAGGC
Molecule: ribosomal RNA, 369 nt
Filed under: uncultured bacterium
Lineage: Bacteria
Description: partial 16S ribosomal RNA
Rfam family: Bacterial small subunit ribosomal RNA
Source: RNAcentral